GGUCUUAUGCCUUAGUGGUAUAGCAUGCUGCAGUUACUUUCAGGCUGCAGGUUUGAUUCCUGCUUGUGCCA
Non-coding RNA from Phanerochaete carnosa HHB-10118-sp, 71 nucleotides. Lineage: Eukaryota; Fungi; Basidiomycota; Agaricomycetes; Polyporales; Phanerochaetaceae. The record is from the annotation of a RefSeq genome assembly.